GAUGAACGCUGGCGGCGUGCCUAAUACAUGCAAGUCGAGCGAACGGACGAGAAGCUUGCUUCUCUGAUGUUAGCGGCGGACGGGUGAGUAACACGUGGAUAACCUACCUAUAAGACUGGGAUAACUUCGGGAAACCGGAGCUAAUACCGGAUGAUAUUUUGAACCGCAUGGUUCCAAAGUGAAAGACGGUCUUGCUGUCACUUAUAGCUGGAUCCGCGCUGCAUUAGCUAGUUGGUAAGGUACCGGCUUACCAAGGCAACGAGGCAUACCCGACCUGAGAGGGAGAUCGCCCACACUGGAACGGAGACAGGGUCCAGACUCCUACGGGAGGCAGCAGUAGGGAAUCUUCCGCAAUGGGCGAAAGCCUGACGGAGCAACGCCGCGUGAGUGAUGAAGGUCUUCGGAUCGUAAAGCUCUGUUAUUAGGGAAGAACAUAUGUGUAAGUAACUGUGCACAUCUUGACGGUACCUAAUCAGAAAGCCACGGCUAACUACGUG
This 497-nucleotide ribosomal RNA is filed under the name uncultured bacterium. Its description in RNAcentral is "partial 16S ribosomal RNA". It matches the Rfam family "Bacterial small subunit ribosomal RNA", at positions 28 to 507 of the family's 1533-position model. The record is from RNAcentral.